This 119-nucleotide ribosomal RNA is filed under the name Pteropus alecto (black flying fox). Lineage: Eukaryota; Metazoa; Chordata; Mammalia; Chiroptera; Pteropodidae. The record is from RNAcentral.
GUCUACAGCCAUGCCACCCUGAACAAGUCCAAUCCCGUCUGAUCUCGGAAGCUAAACAGGGUCGAGCCUGGUUAGUACAUGGAUGGGAGACCACCUAGGAAGAUGAGGCGCUGUAGGCG